This is a non-coding RNA of Stachybotrys elegans, 85 nucleotides long. The record is from the annotation of a GenBank genome assembly. Lineage: Eukaryota; Fungi; Ascomycota; Sordariomycetes; Hypocreales; Stachybotryaceae.
UCCGGUAUGGUGUAGUGGCUAACAUCGCUCGCUCUCAUUAAAUUAAUGACCCGAGCAGCCCAGGGUUCGAUUCCCUGUACCGGAG